UAGGACAAUCAGCCUGAGAGAGACUUCAGA
This 30-nucleotide non-coding RNA is filed under the name Mus musculus (house mouse). The record is from RNAcentral. Lineage: Eukaryota; Metazoa; Chordata; Mammalia; Rodentia; Muridae.